AGAGUUUGAUCCUGGCUCAGAAUGAACGCUGGCGGCGUGGAUAAGACAUGCAAGUCGGACGAGAGAAUUGCUAGCUUGUUAAUAAUUCUCUAGUGGCGCACGGGUGAGUAACACGUGAGUAACCUGCCCCCGAGAGCGGGAUAGCCCUGGGAAACUGGGAUUAAUACCGCAUAGUAUCGAAAGAUUAAAGCAGCAAUGCGCUUGGGGAUGGGCUCGCGGCCUAUUAGUUAGUUGGUGAGGUAACGGCUCACCAAGGCGAUGACGGGUAGCCGGUCUGAGAGGAUGUCCGGCCACACUGGAACUGAGACACGGUCCAGACACCUACGGGUGGCAGCAGUCGAGAAUCAUUCACAAUGGGGGAAACCCUGAUGGUGUGACGCCGCGUGGGGGAAUGAAGGUCUUCGGAUUGUAAACCCCUGUCAUGUGGGAGCAAAUUAAAAAGAUAGUACCACAAGAGGAAGAGACGGCUAACUCUGUGCCAGCAGCCGCGGUAAUACAGAGGUCUCAAGCGUUGUUCGGAAUCACUGGGCGUAAAGCGUGCGUAGGCUGUUUCGUAAGUCGUGUGUGAAAGGCGCGGGCUCAACCCGCGGACGGCACAUGAUACUGCGAGACUAGAGUAAUGGAGGGGGAACCGGAAUUCUCGGUGUAGCAGUGAAAUGCGUAGAUAUCGAGAGGAACACUCGUGGCGAAGGCGGGUUCCUGGACAUUAACUGACGCUGAGGCACGAAGGCCAGGGGAGCGAAAGGGAUUAGAUACCCCUGUAGUCCUGGCAGUAAACGGUGCACGCUUGGUGUGCGGGGAAUCGACCCCCUGCGUGCCGGAGCUAACGCGUUAAGCGUGCCGCCUGGGGAGUACGGUCGCAAGAUUAAAACUCAAAGAAAUUGACGGGGACCCGCACAAGCGGUGGAGUAUGUGGCUUAAUUCGAUGCAACGCGAAGAACCUUACUUGGGCUUGACAUGUAAUGAACAACAUGUGAAAGCAUGCGACUCUUCGGAGGCGUUACACAGGUGCUGCAUGGCCGUCGUCAGCUCGUGUCGUGAGAUGUUUGGUUAAGUCCAGCAACGAGCGCAACCCCUGUUGCCAGUUACCAGCACGUGAAGGUGGGGACUCUGGCGAGACUGCCCAGAUCAACUGGGAGGAAGGUGGGGACGACGUCAGGUCAGUAUGGCCCUUAUGCCCAGGGCUGCACACGUACUACAAUGCCCAGUACAGAGGGGGCCGAAGCCGCGAGGCGGAGGAAAUCCUGAAAACUGGGCCCAGUUCGGACUGUAGGCUGCAACCCGCCUACACGAAGCCGGAAUCGCUAGUAAUGGCGCAUCAGCUACGGCGCCGUGAAUACGUUCCCGGGUCUUGCACACACCGCCCGUCA
Molecule: ribosomal RNA, 1370 nt
Filed under: uncultured bacterium
Lineage: Bacteria
Description: bacterial SSU rRNA
Rfam family: Bacterial small subunit ribosomal RNA
Source: RNAcentral